UACGGAGGGUGCGAGCGUUAUCCGGAAUUACUGGGUUUAAAGGGUGCGUAGGCGGCUUGGUAAGUCAGGAGUGAAAGUUUGCGGCUCAACCGUAAAAUUGCUUUUGAUACUGCCGGGCUAGAAUUAGGGUGAGGUCAGCGGAAUGUGGCAUGUAGCGGUGAAAUGCAUAGAUAUGCCAUAGAACACCUAUUGCGAAGGCAGCUGGCUAGACCUAUAUUGACGCUGAGGCACGAAAGCGUGGGGAGCGAACAGG
Molecule: ribosomal RNA, 253 nt
Filed under: uncultured bacterium
Lineage: Bacteria
Description: partial 16S ribosomal RNA
Rfam family: Bacterial small subunit ribosomal RNA
Source: RNAcentral